AUUGAACGCUGGCGGCAGGCCUAACACAUGCAAGUCGAGCGGAUGAAGGGAGCUUGCUCCUGGAUUCAGCGGCGGACGGGUGAGUAAUGCCUAGGAAUCUGCCUGGUAGUGGGGGAUAACGUCCGGAAACGGGCGCUAAUACCGCAUACGUCCUGAGGGAGAAAGUGGGGGAUCUUCGGACCUCACGCUCUCAGAUGAGCCUAGGUCGGAUUAGCUAGUUGGUGGGGUAAAGGCCUACCAAGGCGACGAUCCGUAACUGGUCUGAGAGGAUGAUCAGUCACACUGGAACUGAGACACGGUCCAGACUCCUACGGGAGGCAGCAGUGGGGAAUAUUGGACAAUGGGCGAAAGCCUGAUCCAGCCGUGCCGCGUGUGUGAAGAAGGUCUUCGGAUUGUAAAGCACUUUAAGUGGGGAGGAAGGGCAGUAAGUUAAUACCUUGCUGUUUUGACGUUACCAACAGAAUAAGCACCGGCUAACUUCGUG
This 484-nucleotide ribosomal RNA is filed under the name uncultured bacterium. Its description in RNAcentral is "partial 16S ribosomal RNA". It matches the Rfam family "Bacterial small subunit ribosomal RNA", at positions 30 to 507 of the family's 1533-position model. The record is from RNAcentral.